Molecule: non-coding RNA, 1171 nt
Organism: Oryzias latipes (Japanese medaka)
Lineage: Eukaryota; Metazoa; Chordata; Actinopteri; Beloniformes; Adrianichthyidae
Source: RefSeq, a predicted model, not a curated record
UGAACAUCAGACUUCCAGAAAGAGAAGAUCAUCGUCAAGGAAAGCUUCAGACGGACUCCACAGACUUCUUUCAUGUGAAGUUUUCUCUAACGCUGAUCACUUAAACAUUUCCAAAGAACUAGAUGAGAUGCCGACCAGAACACCAGAACAUCAGCUUUGAUCUCAUUUAGCGUGGGGGGAGGAUACAACAUGUCUCCGGACCGCCAACAUCACAGCAAUCACCAAACAUGGUGUAUAUGUGAGCAGGUGGGACAAACUAAUUGCAUGAUUGGAUGGUUUUUGCAUGUUUGUUGUGUUUUUACACCCCUUGCAUGCUGCAUGUGGACACGCCCCUUAAUUAGAAGCACCUGCUCUUAAUUGAGAGACUAUAUAGGAGUGGAGCAGAGAAGCAGACGGGGGCUCCAGAAUGUAGUGGACUCUGGGAAAAGUUCCUGCCUGGCCAGGAGGGCGCACACCCCAGGGGCGCUUGGUUCUGCGCACCCUGGGAGCAUGGCAUACACGCCGGGAACCACCGGGCCUCUAUGCACAGGGGACGCAUUUGGACCGCCAGACCACUCAUCAGAUGCACCAAUGGAGUGAGGAGGGCGCACGCACCGGGGGCAAUUGGACCGCUGGGACCGCCAGUUCUGCCAUGCCGUCAACACGCAGGGGCAGGGCAGGGACCCUGCCGGUGUUGUAAGUAUCCCGACGUGACUUAGCAGACUGGUAGAAACACACAAGAAGGCUGGGUCCAACCUGGAUGUUGGAGUACCUUUGGUGCUGCCGCUUGUGUGUUUCCAUGCAGGAGUCCCAGCGCGCCGGAAGGCCAGCCAGAAGCGACAUGACACGGGGAGGAGUGUGUGAGGCUGAAAACGCGCAGAGGCAGAGGGGAACUCUGCCUGGCCUGUCCUGGUGCGUGUGACCCGAGGACUUCCCUGAUCAUGGAGGAAGGACAUCAUGGGUGCAGUCUGGCGGGUGGAGGACGUCCCCUGGAUUCCGGAUCUGCUGUCUCCCAAAGCUGCUUUUGUCGACUGUCCCCCGGACUUUUAGUAUUGCUUUUUAGUCGUUUUUACCCUGUUUCUGCAUCUUAUUGUAUUUUAUACUUUUUAGAGCGGUUUUAUGUAUUUUAGUUUUUAUCAUCUCAUUGGCCAGUCAGGUUUUAAGAUUAAUAAACUGUUUUUGUGGCCAAAAA